AAUCUUGUGCCAGCCACCGCGGUCACACAAGAAACCCAAAUUAACCGUAUGCGGCGUAAAGAGUGGUGCCAUGAUACCAUAACAACUAGGAUUGAAAUGUAACUAGGCUGUCAUAAGCUCAAGAUAUAUCUAAGAUCACCCUUAAGAUGAUCCUAGUACCUCUGAUUAAUUCAACCCCACGAAAGCUAGGGCACAAACUGGGAUUAGAUACCCCAUUAUGCCUAGCCCUAAAUCUUGAUGUUUACCACACCAAAGCAUCCGCCCGAGAACUACGAGCACAAACGCUUAAAACUCUAAGGACUUGGCGGUGCCCCAAACCCACCUAGAGGAGCCUGUUCUAUAAUCGAUAAUCCACGAUUCACCCAACCACCCCUCGCCAAAAGCAGCCUACAUACCGCCGUCGCCAGCCCACCUUCCCUGAGAGUCCCACAGUGAGCAUAACAGCCCAAGUCCGCUAGUAAGACAGGUCAAGGUAUAGCCUAUGGGGUGGAAGAAAUGGGCUACAUUUUCUAUAAUAGAAAACCCACGAAAGGGGACGUGAAACGGUCCCCGGAAGGCGGAUUUAGCAGUAAAGCGGGAUAAUAAAGCCCUCUUUAAGUUGGCCCUGGGGCACGUACAUACCGCCCGUCACCCUCCUCACAAGCCACCAACAUCCAUAAUUAAUAAGCUCCAUGGCUGAAGAUGAGGUAAGUCGUAACAAGGUAAGUGUACCGGAAGGUGCACUUAGUAUAC
This 732-nucleotide ribosomal RNA is filed under the name Fratercula arctica (Atlantic puffin). RNAcentral's name for it is "partial 12S ribosomal RNA". It matches the Rfam family "Bacterial small subunit ribosomal RNA", at positions 499 to 1526 of the family's 1533-position model. Lineage: Eukaryota; Metazoa; Chordata; Aves; Charadriiformes; Alcidae. The record is from RNAcentral.